Bufo gargarizans (Asiatic toad) is the source of this 1275-nucleotide long non-coding RNA. RefSeq lists it as uncharacterized. Lineage: Eukaryota; Metazoa; Chordata; Amphibia; Anura; Bufonidae. The record is from RefSeq and is a predicted model, not a curated record. The transcript is spliced from 2 exons.
GUGUACCAGUUCUGACUGAGCAAUGACUCAUUCUGUACCUAUAGGUGAAUAAUACGAUCUUCUGAAGGUUGGUGUUAAUCUCUCCUGUCUCUCUGAGGUCUUUCUACCUGCACUUAAAGGUCUUUGACAUAUUGGCAGGUGUCCACCACCAGAAAAGUGACAUCUACACAUUUACAUGUAUUAUCCUCUGUUAUGCCUCCACACAUCUACCUUCUCCAACUAACCUUUAGUAUGUCAUCUCACUCUCCUUUUGGUAGAUAAGGCACGUGGAAACCAACAUGUGAGAAGAUAUACUGAAAAACAUUUACCAUGCAGUAGAAUGAGAUGUCUAUUAGUGGAGGACUCAACAUGCCAGUGCUUUACAAGGAUUGAGUAUUGACUUCAAUGGUCAGGUGGAUGGUUUCGUUUCUCUGUGGCACUGGUGUAAUAGAUCUGAACACUUGCUGUGAGUUUCUCUUGUAAAAGAAAGCUGAUGGCUGAGGGUCUAGGCUAUUUGAGAUCCUUCUAACAAAUAAUAUUGUUAAAGCAUACAACCCCUUUUAUGGUUGGUAGUCUGAGUGGAAACAUUACUUGGAAAGGGCACAGAGUGGGUUAAAAAAAGAAGUCAUACCCUCCCAACCUGACAGUUACUUAAACCGUCUUGUCUCGUCAUCCUGGUCCAAUCUCAAUACCCGUGAAAUGCCUGGCGAUGCCUGCUUAACAAACCACUGACUGAGGCUGAACACCACUGUGGCCAAUAACUGGCUGACAGGCAUCUCUAGGCAUUUCCAUGCGUGUUGACAGGAGAGUAGGAAGCAGAAACCAGUGGGGACUCAGUAAACGUCAAAAGAGAGGCAGCAGGGGAUCAAUAAGAAUGACCCUCUUCCCCCAUACAACCUUCUCAAUCUGCUGUAUGUCUACCAUCCAUUAAAGGGGUUGUAUGCCUUGGACAAUACUUUUUUUGUUGAUAAGGUCACAUAAAAUUAACUGUUGCUGGGAUCCCAGAAACUACUUUAAUGAUAACAAUUAGUGAUGAGCGAAUUUCAGGAUAAAUUAGAUUCGAUGCAAAACCAAAUUUCCUCGCGCUUCGUAGUAGUGAACCGAUUUAAACUGAAAUGGUGAAAAAGACAAAAAGAAAAUUAUAUUCACCUGAUCCACUUGCUCGCUAUGGGCCGGGCACCGUCAUCUUGAUUGAAGAUCUCGGCCGAAAUCCUGUGCAUGUCAUCGCGUCCCGAGCGAGAUUUUCGCCAGACCUUCAAUCAAGAUGGCAGUGCCCGUCCCAAGCAAAUGGAUCAG